ACCAAUACGAAUCAAAAUCAAGAACGGACUAUUGUCUCGAAGCAGUGGAGACCGUCGAGCUCCAGAGCAAACCUCGGAGUCUUCUGCACCAAACUUAUCUUAUUGCUUGCGUUUUCCUCCUUCUGCGUCUGCGUUUGCAGUACGGCAGGUUUGGGGUGGCGGUGGAGCUAGCGUUAAGCGAAGAAACCAUACUUGAUCUCGAGGUCAAGCUACAAGACGGACCAAUACGAAUCAAAAUCAAGAACGGACUAUUGUCUCGAAGCAGUGGAGACCGUCGAGCUCCAGAGCAAACCUCGGAGUCUUCUGCACCAAACUUAUCUUAUUGCUUGCGUUUUCCUCCUUCUGCGUCUGCGUUUGCAGUACGGCAGGUUUGGGGGUGGCGGUGGAGCUAGCGUUAAGCGAAGAAACCAUAAGGUUCUUUCCCAUAAGCUCUACGAAGAGGGCGUCGAAGGCACUGAACAUCGAGUUCAUGAUGUAAAGUAAGAUAAUAAACAAGACCAAGAGACUUUGAAGUUUC
Molecule: long non-coding RNA, 517 nt
Filed under: Brassica rapa (field mustard)
Lineage: Eukaryota; Viridiplantae; Streptophyta; Magnoliopsida; Brassicales; Brassicaceae
Description: long non-coding RNA (BRAP_LNC006940)
Source: RNAcentral